GUUCCCCGCAGCUGGGCCGGAAAGUGCUCGGAGGCAGUGUGGGAACCCCAGGGCACGCAGCGCAGCGCCCCAUCGCCCCUCGGAGCCGGGUGGCCGAGGGUAGCGGACACCAGGGGAAGCAAAAUCUUGUUUAAGCAACAGUAAAACUGAAUUAUUUGCAAAUGCAACGUACAGAAGUGCCACAGGCCUGCGGGUCAGUUCGGGGAGGAGGGGCUCCGAUGCUCUGGCCCAGGGCGGAGCAUUUUAUGUUCAUCUGCGGCCCAGGCCUGCUCGUGGCAGGUCCGUGCAGGCUGUUCAUCAACCUGGAACACCAGUCAAACCAUCGGCGGUUUUCCCGAACUACUGGACCCUUUAAAAGAAGAGAGUGUGGUUGGUCCAUGCAGUCCAUGAUGCGGAAUAACGGAAAAGGUGGGACCGUCUCACAGGUGUUCACACUUGUUUGUCGGUAGGAGCUACGAGACAUUCCAUUGGUCCAGAGUCGGCCCCAUGCCAUCUGGAGAGAAGGCACCACAGACAAUGCACCAUGGAUUUAAGCCGUGGUGCCCUCUGGAGCACUUUGUUUUUCUUCUACGUGCUUGUUUGCUUUAGAUUCUUAGGUGCAGCUAUCAGGCAUCUCUAACGUAACAUGUUAAAAACUAAACUCUUUGUUUUUCUCUCUCGAACCCUGCUCUGUUCACCUUUCCUGUCUGCAAAUAUAAUGGCAUUUUAAUCCCUAUCUUCCAGGUGCUCAAGCCAAAAAUUUACAAACUAUUACCGACACCUGUUCCUCUCACACCCCAGGCCCAGUCCAUCUGACAACCUUGUACACUCUCUAUUUUCAUAACUUUAUUGAGGCUGAUUGACAUACACUAAACUGCAUAUAUUUAAAGUGUGCAGUCUGACAGGUUUGGGCAUAUGCAUACACCCAUGAGACUAUCUCCAAGGUCAAGAUGAUUGACAUGCCCUAAAAGAGUCCUCGAGCCCCUGUGUAAUUCCCUCCUCUCCACUCCUGCCUGUCCACUCCUGCCUCCAUUGCUAUGGAUGGAUUUGUAAUUCGAAAAUUUGAAAUAAAUGGAAUCGUACAGUG
Molecule: long non-coding RNA, 1066 nt
Organism: Phyllostomus hastatus (greater spear-nosed bat)
Lineage: Eukaryota; Metazoa; Chordata; Mammalia; Chiroptera; Phyllostomidae
Exons: 2
Source: RefSeq, a predicted model, not a curated record